RNAcentral lists this transfer RNA (56 nucleotides) under Diaphanoeca grandis. The record is from RNAcentral. Lineage: Eukaryota; Choanoflagellata; Acanthoecida; Stephanoecidae.
CUCAAGAUGAUAGCAGCUUGCGCCUUCAUGAUCGCUCGUUUCACUUUCGAUCGACG